Molecule: ribosomal RNA, 486 nt
Filed under: uncultured bacterium
Lineage: Bacteria
Description: partial 16S ribosomal RNA
Rfam family: Bacterial small subunit ribosomal RNA
Source: RNAcentral
AUUGAACGCUGGCGGCGUGCUUAACACAUGCAAGUCGAGCGGUAGCAGGCGUAGCAAUACGUGCUGACGAGCGGCGAACGGGUGAGUAAUGCUUCUGAAUCUUCCUAGUAUUGGGGAACAACCUGGUGAAACUCAGGCUAAUACCGCCUACGACCUACUGGUGACAGCAGGGUCGCGCGAGACCUUUCGCUAUUAUAUGAGCCGAAGUCGGAUUAGCUAGUUGGUGAGGUAAAGGCUCACCAAGGCGACGAUCAGUAGCUGGUCUGCGAGGACGACCAGCCACACUGGAACUGAGACACGGUCCAGACUCCUACGGGAGGCAGCAGUGGGGAAUCUUGGGCAAUGGGGGCAACCCUGAUCCAGCGACGCCGCGUGAGUGAAGAAGGCCUGCGGGUUGUAAAGCACUUUUAGUGGGGACAAAAAGCACAGUGCUAAUACUCUUGUGUCUUGAUUUAACCCAAAGAAAAAGCACCGGCUAACUCUGUG